GUGAUGAAGGUCUUCGGAUCGUAAAACUCUGUUGUUAGGGAAGAAUAAGUAUCGACCGAAUAAGUCGGUGCCUUGACGGUACCUAACCAGAAAGCCCCGGCUAACUACGUGCCAGCAGCCGCGGUAAUACGUAGGGGGCAAGCGUUGUCCGGAAUUAUUGGGCGUAAAGGGCGCGCAGGCGGUCUUUUAAGUCUGAUGUGAAAUCUCGUAGCUUAACUACGAGCGGUCAUUGGAAACUGGAAGACUUGAGGACAGAAGAGGAGAGUGGAAUUCCACGUGUAGCGGUGAAAUGCGUAGAGAUGUGGAGGAACACCAGUGGCGAAGGCGACUCUCUGGUCUGUAACUGACGCUGAGGCGCGAAAGCGUGGGGAGCGAACAGGAUUAGAUACCCUGGUAGUCCACGCCGUAAACGAUGAGUGCUAGGUGUUAGGGGGUUUAACUCCUCGGUGGCGCAGCUAACGCAAUAAGUACCCCGCCUGGGGAGUACGGCCGCAAGGUUAAAACUCAAAGGAAUUGACGGGGGCCCGCACAAGCGGUGGAGCAUGUGGUUUAAUUCNGAUGCACGCGAAGAACCUUACCUGCCCUUGACAUG
RNAcentral lists this ribosomal RNA (592 nucleotides) under uncultured bacterium. Its description in RNAcentral is "bacterial SSU rRNA". It matches the Rfam family "Bacterial small subunit ribosomal RNA", at positions 405 to 988 of the family's 1533-position model. The record is from RNAcentral.